This 1335-nucleotide long non-coding RNA is filed under the name Volvox carteri. RNAcentral's name for it is "long non-coding RNA (VCAR_LNC003775)". Lineage: Eukaryota; Viridiplantae; Chlorophyta; Chlorophyceae; Chlamydomonadales; Volvocaceae. The record is from RNAcentral.
AUGCAAACAAAGAUUGGACUGGACCUGGAGAGGGCUUUCAACAUUGCAUGGCGGUAAACCCCUGGGUGUGUCGUACUACCUGUACGGGCAACAGAGCGGCCUCCCGCGCGCGCUCCCUCCCCCCGCGUUCCAGGCCCCCCACGGAGGCCACCGCGUGAAGUGCGGCCAGGCGGACCUCGGGAUGCGGUGAGCGACUCAGCGCCCGUUCACACAGGCCCUGGCAUUUGGCGGUUGGCGGUUAGUUGGCAGUUGGCAGUUAGGUUGGCAGUUAGUAGUAAGAGGAUGCGUCUGUGGCCCAGUCCGUCUGGCGGUGCUUCCUACCCAACUGGUGGUGGUGAACCCCGGCGACCAAGGCGGUAAGGUCGGUACGUUGUUCAGUUGGUGCGUUGUCAGUUGUCAGUUGUUGGUUGGGGGUUGGGAUUUGGAGUUCCGCUUGCAUGGCCCGACCCGACAGCAGUUUGACGCAACCGACCCCUCCUCCCCCUUAAUUCGCUAGGCGUUAACAAAACGACUACUGUCUCAUCCCUUUCCCCCCACCCCUUUCCCCCCACCCCUUUCCCCCCACCCCUUUCCCCCCUCACGACCACCAAAACACACACACACACCGGAGCCCAGCACCACACCUACCCGCACCAGCACCUCGUCAGACAGCACGAGCUGUGCGCCCGCGGCCGACUGAGAGAGGGUGCCCAGAGCGUCCAGACCGCACGCCUCCGCCGCCGCGCUGGCGUCGCCGCGGUCAUCUAGUACGGCCCGUACAGCCGCCAUCAGCGCCGGCGCCACCGCCAGGGCGGGCAGCUGAACUGCCGCUGCCACUACGCCGCUGUCAACGCCGCCGGCAAAGGGGUGUCCAGGAGGAGUCGAAUCGCCGUCGCCGUUGCCAGUGGCGGCGGCGCCGCCAAGCAUUGCGGCGACUGCAGCCGCCGGCAGCGCUGGCGGCAGUGUACGACGAAGAAUCCCCGCCACCAGUGGUAGAGCGGCAUCCGCCAGACUGGGCUCCGAAACCAGCGCUAACAAUUGCGGCAAUACGAGACCAGCCAGCGCCGCCGCCAUGCUUUCGCCGCCGCCACCGCCACCAGACGCGCCGCCGUCGCUAUCGCCGUCAGCUUUAGCUAGCAGAUCUUCCAGCAGCUGUAGCGCCGCCAGGCAUGCCAGCGCGUCGGUAGGAUUCGCCAGCUGACUCAGCAGCGGCUGUAGCAACCCUGAAUCCCGCAGCAGCCGCAAACCCUCGUCGUGUGUAACAUGCGGAAUUGCCGUACUGGAAAUGCGGCCGCCGCUUGAAGCGAUGGAACGGGCAGGCGGGCUGUGCCGGUGGCCGUUUUCGUACGGCGGGCC